UACAGAGGGUGCAAGCGUUGUUCGGAAUUAUUGGGCGUAAAGGGCGCGUAGGCGGUGCGGUAAGUCUGUAGUGAAAUCUCUGGGCUCAACUCAGAGUCUGCUAUAGAAACUGCCGUGCUUGAGUGUGGGAGAGGUGAGUGGAAUUCCCGGUGUAGCGGUGAAAUACGUAGAUAUUGGAAGGAACACCAGUGGCGCAAGCGGCUAUCUGGACGAGUAUUGACGCUGAGGCACGAAAGCGUGGGGAUCAAACAGGG
This 254-nucleotide ribosomal RNA is filed under the name uncultured bacterium. Its description in RNAcentral is "partial 16S ribosomal RNA". It matches the Rfam family "Bacterial small subunit ribosomal RNA", at positions 524 to 777 of the family's 1533-position model. The record is from RNAcentral.